GGAGAACAUUGGGUUGCAAUUGCGGCAAUCGGGCGAAAUUGAAACAGAGCUUCCUUUAGAAGGGUGGUUCGCUUCUAUCGUUGUUGGACGAAAAGACAGAAUUUCAGUUACUUUCAGACGGUGGGAGCUAGUAAUCGCUGCACUGGAAGGCAAAGCCCUACACUACCAGCAGUUCUUUCACUAGUCCCUUCUUUCCAAUAAUGGGAUGUUUCGAAUCAGUGUUAAGAAUCCCUAUUUGAUUUCUUAUGCAAGUACGGAGUUUUGGGUGAGAUUGUUAUGCAUUAAAAUUUGAUGGUGCAGGGGAGUCUGGGAAGUUAUUUCUACCCUGUUUCUGGAGUUGGAGAAUAAACAGACCAGGUUUGAAGUUAUGACGUUUGACCCCAAGGGUUAAGAGAAACUAAUACCCCAGUAAACUGAAAAGACACAAUGUUUUCUUUAUUUUAUGGCCUCUGGAAGUACCUAUUUAGUAAGACAGAGUUUCAUGUUCUCAUCCUAGGAAUUGACAAGGCGGGGAAAACAACUUUGCUUGAGAAGUUGAAGUCCUUAUACUCAAACUUGGAAGGUCUCUCCCCUGAUCGGAUUGUUCCAACUGUUGGACUCAAUAUUGGGCGUCUUGAGGUGUUGAAUGCAAAGCUUGUCUUCUGGGAUCUGGGAGGUCAGCCUGGCCUUCGGUCUAUUUGGGAAAAAUAUUAUGAAGAGGCACAUGCGGUGAUCUAUGUAAUUGAUGCUGCUUGUCCUUCAAAAUUUGAAGAUUCCAAAUCUGCACUGGAGAAAGUUCUUCGACAUGAGGAUUUGCAAGGAGCUCCACUUUUGGUUUUAGCAAACAAGCAGGAUCUUCCGGAAGCAGUAUCAGCAGAAGAACUUUCUCGUUAUCUCGAUCUUAAAAAAUUGGACGAAAGAGUCUACAUGUUUGAAGCUGUUUCUGGCUAUGAUGGGAUGGGGAUAAAGGAAAGUGUUGAAUGGUUGGUGGAUAUAAUGGAAAGAAGUAAAAGAACCGAAAUAUUGAGAGCUCGAGCAGGUGGGGCUGGUCUGGGUUCUAUUUAGAUCAAAUAUGAAACAAUCAUAGUUGGUCUAUAUUUCUUCCAUAAACUUGUGAAAAACCCAGGUGUUAGAGGCCCCUAAUUCAUUACAUCCUCCUGUCUGAGAGCGUUCACUCGAUCUGGCUUCCUGUUAUCUAGCUUUACUACAAAAUGUAAAGAUAAUCUUGAUUACAUGGCUAAUUGGUAGCUUUAGAAUUUCCACCUGCAAAAGUACAGAAUUACGUGUUUGAACCUGGGAAUGUUUUCAUAGGCAUUCUUGGCUGGGAAUGUUUUCAUAGGCAUUCUUGGCUGACCAUGUUUCAUACAAGUGAUUUAAAUUUUGUCAUCCUUAAGUCGUAUAAAGUUGUUACAUUUUAAAGUGUUAAA
Benincasa hispida (wax gourd) is the source of this 1406-nucleotide RNA transcript. It is a transcript of the gene named GTP-binding protein 1, with no coding region annotated. Lineage: Eukaryota; Viridiplantae; Streptophyta; Magnoliopsida; Cucurbitales; Cucurbitaceae. The record is from RefSeq and is a predicted model, not a curated record.